This 471-nucleotide long non-coding RNA is filed under the name Rattus norvegicus (Norway rat). Its description in RNAcentral is "long non-coding RNA NONRATT000830". Lineage: Eukaryota; Metazoa; Chordata; Mammalia; Rodentia; Muridae. The record is from RNAcentral.
CUUCAGCCUCCCAGGAGUUAACAACAUUUCUCCCCAGCUGUCCUCCCCUUGGUGCUCCUUUUCCUCCCUCCUCCUGCUCACAGCAGGCAGGGCCUGGAACCAGGAGCCAUGCUGCUGUGCUGUUGCCAGGGGAGCUGGGAGGCAGAUCAGAGCUAUGCAGGGGAAAGGCUCAGCCUGUCAAAGUGUCUGAGAUGAACCACCGCCAUCCCCGUGCAGCUGGGCUCCAUGUGUCUCAAGGCUCUUGUUCUGUGCCUGAGAACAGGGAAACCCAGCGAGGUUCAAGGGCACACUCGCUAUUCAUCAGUCAGGGGUUCUUGACGGUCCUGCCUCUCCCAGAGAUGGGUUCCCCCCUUCCUCUUUCUCUCCCUCCUGUGACACAAUCCUGGGUGCCUAUGGUGAGGACUGCACACCCCCUCCCUACUGCUCCCCCCAAACCCUGAAUCAACUCUUAUUAAGGAGGCCAGGCAGGAC